This 1940-nucleotide unclassified non-coding RNA is filed under the name Hevea brasiliensis (rubber tree). The record is from RNAcentral. Lineage: Eukaryota; Viridiplantae; Streptophyta; Magnoliopsida; Malpighiales; Euphorbiaceae.
GAGAAAGCAGAAACAAACCCAUGAAGGUUAUGUAAUUUGUCUAUUUAUUGCUUUCCAAAUAUAGAAUUUACUUCAAUUUCAGUUUUUGCUUUAGGGUUUUGCUUUAUGGUGAUGUUAUAGUUUCUUGGUUAAAAUAAAGAAACAGCAUAUGCUGUGUUAUUUGCUUUCAUUUUCAGCUGCUUGUGAACCUUGCCUUUUUCUUUUUGAUCUAAGCUACCUCUGCCUCUCUUGCUGUUCUCAACAAGGUUCUCUUUCUAUAUAUAUAUACUCUAUUAGUUGUAUUGCUGUUGAAUCUAUUAAGAAUUAGCAUUUAUUGCACUGUGAUCUGUUUUCUUCUGGUAAUUUUGUUGAUUUGUUUUUCCCAUUUUGAAUUUAUAUGCUGUUCUGAAUUUCUCAAUAAGAUCUUUUUCAUUUCCCCUUUCUUGCGGAUAUUUACGGUUUUAUUCAUCCUCGGGGAAACUGGGUUUCUACUUUGAAUCCUUUUCAAAGUUUAUUCCUUUAUAUGGAUUUUGUGGCUUCUGCUUAAAUAUUGAUUGUGUUGAAUCUGGGUAGUUGUGAAGAGUGUUUAAUGUAAGUAAUUUAAGUAUCUUCCUUGAAUUUGGUUCUUCAUUCGUGCUCUAAAGUUCAUGAGAUUGAAUUUCUCUUCCUUCCUUUUGCUUUGUUCUUCGCAAUGUUCGUCUUCUUUCCUGAAAUUUUUGCAUUCUUUUACUAGCGAACUAUGGGAGAGCAGUUGGGAUUGCUAAAGGUGACUGUUGUACAAGGGAAAAAAUUGGUUAUCCGGGAUUUCAAGAGCAGUGAUCCUUAUGUGGUGGUCAAGCUAGGAAGUCAGACAUCAAAGACCAAAGUUAUAAAUAGUUGCCUUAAUCCAGUCUGGAAUGAAGAGCUAAGCUUCUCCCUCACAGAAACUAUUGGAGCUCUAAGUUUGGAAGUAUUUGAUAAAGACCGUUUCAAGGCAGAUGACAAGAUGGGGCAUGCUCACCUCAGCCUUCAACCAAUUGCCUCUGCUGCUAGGUUGAAGCAGAUUCUGCAAGUUUGUUCUGGUGAGACUAUUUUAAGAAAGGUAGUUCCAGACUCAGACAACUGUCUUGCCAGGGAAAGCUCGAUUAGUUGUAUUGAUGGUGAGGUGGUGCAGAGCGUAUGGUUGAGGCUCUGUGCAGUUGAGUCUGGGGAGAUAGAACUAAAGAUUAAGUUGAUUGAUGCUCCUGUUGCCUCUUCAAGGUAGUUCAGAGCUUAGAAUUGUGCAAUGAGUAGUCUUCUGACAAUGGUAGUCGAUGGUAGAUGUAUCGGUAGGCUACCUUUACCCCUCUAAUUGUAUCAAAUAGAUUUUCAAAGUAAGGUAUCAAAAUUAGUAAAGAUUUCAGCUGGCUCAUGCAAGACCAAGCUUCUUUUGUCUGGGUGUGCUCGAGUGCAAUUGUGUCUGCUUUUGAAAUUGUUAUCAAGUUUGAUGAGAUUUUUAACUCUUAAAUGUGAAUGUGAUUCUAGUUUAAAGAUUGCAUGUGAUUUGGAAGUAAUAUGCAAAAUCAUUUUGCUUUGUAAGAAAGAAAAGAAAUUCUUUUUGGGACAUCUGAUGUCAUCAAAUGUUGUUGCAAUGUGAAUAUAUGCUUGUUUGCUUAUGCAUGCUGUUUAAUCAGAUGAUUCAGCCAUGUUCAUUUCUGAUUUGAAUUACGUUCAUUUCUGCCAUGUUAGGAGGACAGGGAAUACAGAGGCACAUAACUUAGCUAAUAAAGUAGUCCAUGACGCUUCCUUUUUGUGUAACCCUCUCUGUCAGUUGAGCUAUGUGCUGUCUAUUUUGCCUAUUAAGGCUUUCAAUGUAUUGAUAUCUUUGAGGAGAAAAAAAAAUUCAGAUGAUUCAGCAGCCACGUGUUCAAGUGUAAUCAAGUUUUCAAAGUUUGUACAAUAGUCCAAUGAGAAUAAUCUGAUGUCAUCAUUGUUGUUUGUUG